GAGGAAUGCCAUAAAGAGGAUCAAAGAGAAGAGGAAAGCCUUGUCUUUCACGAACUGUUCCCAGCCAAUCAGCUUCCUGCCGUCCCAGAGGGGUCCGGCCCAGUCGUGGACCCACAGUCUGCCCCGUCCCUCCAGCCCAGAGACCAGCGAGACCUCAGGCCCCGGCAGCACCACCUCUACCUCACUGGUCAUCAAGAACGAAAGUUAUGGAAAAGAAAGUAGUUUUGUGAGCUUCUCCUUGAAACC
Long non-coding RNA from Salvelinus namaycush (lake trout), 246 nucleotides. RefSeq lists it as uncharacterized. The record is from RefSeq and is a predicted model, not a curated record. NCBI's taxonomy places the organism in Eukaryota, Metazoa, Chordata, Actinopteri, Salmoniformes, Salmonidae. The transcript has 3 exons.